CCCUGUGUGGUGAAAACAGUUAACAAGCUCGGCUCCUAACCAAAAGGCUGGAGGUUAGAGUCCUCCCAGAGGUG
RNAcentral lists this transfer RNA (74 nucleotides) under Loxodonta africana (African savanna elephant). It matches the Rfam family "tRNA". From Rfam's summary of the family: Transfer RNA (tRNA) molecules are approximately 80 nucleotides in length. Their secondary structure includes four short double-helical elements and three loops (D, anti-codon, and T loops). The record is from Rfam by way of RNAcentral. Lineage: Eukaryota; Metazoa; Chordata; Mammalia; Proboscidea; Elephantidae.